This is an RNA transcript of Passer domesticus (house sparrow), 13901 nucleotides long. It is a transcript of the gene named centrosomal protein 350, with no coding region annotated. Lineage: Eukaryota; Metazoa; Chordata; Aves; Passeriformes; Passeridae. The transcript is spliced from 42 exons. The record is from RefSeq and is a predicted model, not a curated record.
CGCCGCCGCCGCUCCGUGUCAGUUGCGGGCCGGUAAUGGCGGCGCGGAGCGGCCGCUGACGGGCCGCGCACCGCGCUCGGGCCGCCCUCCCUCCGCCCGCCCUCCGCGGCAUGUGCCGCCACCUGCCGCCGGCGCAGCGGCCGUCCACCAGGUAAAUUGACACGAUGUGGAGCAACAAGUCUAAUGAGGUGCCUCUACAAAAUCCAAGGCAUAACCAAAGCAAGGAUUCUACCAGAGAUCUAACUGCAGCAUGGGCUUCUUUUUCUCAGACUAAGGCUGCUCUACGUCAUAUAGAGAACAAAUUGGAAAUAGCUCCCAGCAGCACGGCUGUGUUCGAUUCAGUCAUGGAUGCCAAGAAGCCCUCUGCUAGUGCCAGCAGGAAGAGCAGCAGGAAGGGUUCCCGCUCCUCCAGCCAAAAUAAAUCAAGCAAGGAGAAGUCCUCACGCAGCCCUCUUCGAGCAACCACUCUGGAAAGCAAUGUGAAAAAAUGCAGUCGUGUGGAAUUCCGUGAGCCAUUGGCUUCAUACAGUUCUAGCCAGCUUGAGGCCAAGCAGCUGCUAUCUAGCUUGGAGCUGAGUGAAGCAGAAGGGAAGAGUGAACUCCCAGGCUGCCUGGCACACGAGCGGGACGAGCGGGACCGGCACAGCAGAGCCCUCGACAGCCCCUUCCCUUCUGCUGCAGACCAGACCAUCGUGAGGUACCUCAAUGACCGGCCAACAAUCAACGCCCUGCACACUAACGAGCCAUUUCCUAGGCUUGCAGCACUUUCAAGACUGGAAGAAGAAAAAAACAGUGGCUCCAGGGGGGAUGAAAGUAGCUCUAGAGCUUCUCAGAGUAUCACAUCCCAGGACAGUGAACUGAAAGUGUCUUCCCCUUCUGCCACGAGUAUCUGCAGUGCUCACAGGCUGGAAAUCCUGAAGCAGCGGCAGCACGAUGCCAAGUUGGAGAAGCUGAAGGAGAGGAUCCGGAAGCAGUGGGAGCAUUCUGAGGAGCUCAGUGGCAGAGGGCAGCACGUGGGGUAUGCUGAGCAACCUGUUGUGGUCACUAACGUGGAGAACACGGUGACUCCCAAGGUCAGGAAGGUGACAGCCGUGCCUGCUGCUCCAUCAUACAGAGGUUUCAAUCCUGCUGAAACAAGGAUUCGCACUCCAGAUGGAAAGAUCUGGCAUGCAGACGAGUUUCGUAUCGGUCGGGAGCUUUACAGAGAUAUUGCACUCCAGUUAAAAGAGGAUUCAACAGUGAAAGGAAAAUCCAGUGAGAGAAACAAAGAGAAGAAAGCUACAAGACCAGUGCGGAAGGUGCAAAAACUGACACGAUUGUCAAGUCCAGAGUCCAAACAAGGUGGAAACUAUGUGAUAAGUGCAUCGUCCUGGCGGGAGGGACAAAAGCUGGUAAAAAAGAUCCUGGGUCCAGCUCCCAGAAUAGAACAGGACAGGAGAGCUGUAUCCAGUGACAGAACAGGCCGAGACAGAGCUGCCAAGUCUGCAGGCUGCAUUGGAAGGACAGGUUCUGAUUCUAGACUGGAUGUUACACGUAAAAGCUCUUCAAGAAGUUCUGAAAGGUCAAGAAGUAAAGUUAGGUCUGAGACCAAUGUGAGAAAACUGGAAGCUGCUCUUCCAGAUGAUAACCAAGAAGAUCAUGCCUCUGUAAACAAGGAUUUCCUGCCCGUGGAGAUACGUGGAAUUCUUGAUGACCUGCAGUUGGAUUCCAUGAGUACAAAGCAAGAGACAGAUGCGGAAAAACAGAAUCAAAAAUGUGUUUUGCCUGCUCAAACUCAGAGGAGCCACAGUCCAACCAAAAGGAAACCAGACAAGGUAGCAGCCGGUGAGGAGCCUCAGGUGAUCUCUAAGAAACGCCACUACGACAGCGAUGAGGUUCGGCAGUACAUCAUCAGGCAGCAGGAGGAGAGGAGGAAGAAGCAGAAUGAAGAGAAGAAAGCACAAAAGGAGGCAACAGAACAGAAGAACAAAAGGCUCCAAGAGCUCUACAGAAAGCAGAAGGAGGCUGUUACUAAAGUGAAGAAUGUGCCUCCUCCUGAGCCUUCAGCAGCCAAACGGUUACAGGAAACCUAUUCCAAAUUCUUGCUGGAGCAAACACUUUUAGAAGAGCCACCUCAGCUGCCUACUGUGCAGGAAACACAGCCCAGACCUGGUUAUCAACCAUCUGGGGAAUCUGACAAAGAAAACAAGGCUCAAGAGCGUCCUCCGAGUGCAUCUUCCAGCAGUGACAUGUCCCUUUCAGAACCACAGCUGCCACUACUGAGGAGCGAUCUGAUGGAGCCUCCAUGGGUGCAGCCAGACAGGUUGAGCCCAAGAGUGCAGCUCCCCCACCCACAAGCUCUCUUGGGCUCAAGUGCAGGCCCUUGUUCCCAGCCCUGGAGUCUGGAGCAGAUGGACCUUCUGUCAAAGGAGUGUGAUGCCAUGUUGGCAGGCAGGAGGAGCCAUUCUGCCCCUGUGGGGUCCCUGAUGCCUCAGUUGUACCUGAAUUCAGCUGCUGCACAGGAAAACCUCUUGGUAAAACCUUCUGCCAGCCAGUAUAAGAGCAAAUUAGAUCGCCUUGAAGCUUUGAAAGCUACAGCUGCUUCCCUUUCUAGCAGGAUUGAAACUGAAGCCAAAAAGUUGGCUGGUGCUGGUAUCAACUAUGGAACCACGUGGAAUUCAGAAUUUGUGCAAGAAAACCAGGAUGAGGGACGGUGGGCAAAGGCUGUGAGCCCUCCUGUGAGGGAGGAAAAUGAAAAUACUUUUUCAGCCAGAAUUCAAAGGAUGUUGGGUGCUUGUGUGUCUCAUACAACCUUUGAUGACAGCCUUCCUGGGGUAGGCAACCUUAGUGAGUUUAAAAAGCUCCCUGAGACCAUCAGACCUCUUACUGAUGUAAUCAGCCUUGGAUUGAGGUCUCCUGCUGCCAACAGGCAUGAAGGGAUCCUGGGACACUUAUCCAAGAGGCAGAUGGACUCCCCAGGGCGUGAGAACCAGGCAUGUCCUCUGAGCAAAGCUGCUACUCCUCACGAGUCCAGCAUUGACUCCAUCAGUGAAGGGCCUCUCCUGAGUGAUGAAAACCUCUCUGAAGAGGAAGGAGACCAGCACAAGCAGCUGCCACUGAAGAUGUUGGAGACAUUAAAAGAGAAGGAUUUCUGCAUUCGGGAGAGAAAUGCUUUUGAGCCUAUAAAGGAGUUUCAGAAAGCAGCUGAGAGGUACUCACCACUUUUCACUCAGACAAAUGACGCACACAGCAAGGGGCCCUGGGAGGAGCUGGCCAAGGGAAGUCCCCACAGUGUCAUCAACAUCUUUGCAAAGAAUUACCAACUUCAUGGAAAAGUGUUUGAAGAAAGGCUGAACGGAGGCUCUGCCCCGCUGCGCCCUCUGCUCCCUGCCAUGAGCCCUCCGGAGAGCGUGGCUUCUUACGAGGAUGACUUUGCCUCAUCUCAGGGAAGCAGCACUUUAACAGACAAGAAGAUUUCACGUGACCUCAGCGUUGGUGGCAGCAGUAAUUCAAGCAUUCAGGAGGAAAUUCCCAGUAGGAAGUCUCCCCUUGAGGCUCGCUCUGUGGAGCUUGGUUCUCAGCACUCGUCUGCGCCCCGCUCUGCAGCGUCUUCCCGCUCCUCUGCUUCCUCCAAAAAGAGGGGGAAAAAGGAAAGGUUGGAUGCUUUCAAUGGAAGCUCUCACCACUUUUCUGUGGAAGAAGAUAAAAUACUGUCUGAAUUAGAGAGGGGAUCCCAGCAGGCUAAGAAAUCCUUAUUGAGUAGCAGAAUUUCUAAUAAAGAGCAUGAGCAGAACCCAGAUACAGACAGCACACUGGAAAACUUGUCUGGACACUCCCUGAUGAGUUUCUCAGACAAAGGAAGACCCCAGAAGACACCAACUUCUUCCCCAUCUUCUGGCUCACAGAAAGUGUUGCAGUUGGAUUCUGUAGGCAAUACAGCAGAAAGAGUCAAGUCACCUGCUGGCUUUUCUGGAGGUCCAGCCCCAGGGCUGAAGGCAAACGUGGCCUUCCCUGACACGGGCCUGGGAAGCAGCAGGUCUGCAGCAGGAGCAGCCUCAGUGAGCGGGUGCAUGCGCUUCUCCCCCGCGGGGCUGCAGCACCGGCUGUCAGCAGAGCUGAGCUACCUGAGCGCUCUCGAGGAGUCCGUGCGGCAGCUCUCGGACCUGGAGCGGGUACGAGGCAUUUCCCUUGCCCAGCAGGAGAGUGUUUCUUUGGCUCAGAUUCUCAAGGCACAGCAGCAGCGCCAUGAGCGGGACUUGGCUCUUUGGAAAAUCAAGGCUGAACAAGAAGCUCUAGAAUGUCAGAGACAACUAGAAGAGGCAAGGCAGAAGGCAGCUCAGGUCCAUGCAGAGUCUCUGCAGCAGCUGGUGCAGUCCCGGCAGGAGGCUGGGCAGGAGCCCCCAUGCAAGGCUGCAGCCAAACAGGCAGAACCUGCACUGCUCUCUACAGAUGCAACUCACCAGCUCCGUGAGGUGACGGGGUUGGCACGGGACACUGUCAGUGCCCCAGCUGCUCCAGGCUCCGCCUUGCCUGACCACCAGCGGCAGCACCACUCAGAGUUCAUGAAGCAGCUCAGGGCCCGAGCUGAUACAAACAGGAAAUGUGAGUCUGGUGCCAUAUCACAAGGUAAAGAGGAGACAGGUGACUCAAAACAGAUGUACUCACCAAUGUUUGAUAGUUACUCUGAGUCCUCGAGAUCAAAGGUUCAUGAUCAGAGUAGUACCAGCAGCCGCCAGGAGAGCCCUUCAGUUCCGUCUUCUAAGGAGAAUGAGAAAAAACCUUCUCGUCAUGAGAAGACAGCCAGCAGUAUUGAAGAGCAGGCUCAGACUGCUGCAGAUGAUUCCCUGCCCAGUGACAGUGUUUUGUCCCUGCCAGAUGAAAAAGAUUCCGCUUCUGUUGCAACAGAGUAUUCCCUGAAAUUUGAUGAGUCCAUGACAGAGGAUGAGAUUGAAGAAAAAUCUUUUCGGUCUUUGCUGCCCUCUGAGAGUCAUCGCAGAAAUAAUCUGGAGAAGAAGAGGGGCAGUCGUGAUGAUUCUGAUGAGGAAGUGUCCCCAGACAAAACAGCUCUGUCAUCUAUCAAGGAGCUAAGCAUGCCGUUCUCAGGGGGGCAAGACAGUUUCUCUAAGUUUACCAUGGAGAUGGUAAGGCAGUACAUGAAGGAGGAGGAAAUGCGAGCAGCUCAUCAGUCCUCACUCCUCCGGCUCCGGGAGAAGGCUCUCAAAGAGAAGACCAAGGCUGAGCUGGCAUGGCUGGAACACCAGAAGAAGCAUUUGCGAGACAAGGGAGAGGAUGAUAAGAUGCCUCCUAUUCGAAAGAGGCAGCGUGGUCUGCUGCUGAGAUUACAGCAGGAAAAGGCAGAAAUCAAACGUCUCCAGGAGGCAAACAAGGCUGCUCGGAAGGAGAGGCAGCUCAUCCUUAAACAGCAGGCGGAGAUCGAGCGAAUCCGUCACACUACGAUGAAGCUGCAGGAAAAGCUGAAAUCUGCAGGAGAAAACAAGCUGGAGCUUCCCAGUGAGGAUGAGAUCAAGCAGAGCAAUGGUUCCAGCCCUCUUCCAACUGAUGCAGAAACACGCAGCCCUUCCCCAAUCUCCAUCUCCAGCAGUGAGACCAGCAGCAUUAUGCAGAAACUUAAAAAAAUGCGCAGCAGAAUGGAUGAAAAACACUGCUCUCCUGUUCACUACUUCUUCUCUGUCUUUACGUCUCACCACUGGGCCUCUCUCAGUGUCUGUUUUCCCAACCUCCACCCCAAAUUCCAGCUGUAUAUCUACAACCAAUUGGUCAGGUUCCUGACCAAGCGGGAGCAGAAGCUGAUGCAGCGCCGGCAGCACGCGGAGGAGCUGCUGGAGUGGAAACGGCGCCUGGACGCCGAGGAGGCCGAAAUACGGAGGAUGGAAAAGCAGGCUCUGGCUGCCUGGGACAAAGAGCUGCUCAAAACCAAGAUGGCCAAGAAAGAGCUGGGGGAUCAGAGAGCUGAGCCCAAAGAAACAGCUAGUGAGGAAGAGUCUCCAGUGCCUUCUUGCUCUCAUCUGAAUAGUGAAAGCUCUAUCCCAGAAGAUCUUGGCAGUCUGGCUGCUGAGUCUGUCCCAUCAGAGCCCAUGGGCCAUGGACAGCCAGAAAGCCCAGAUCAGAGUACAAUUAAUGAAGAAAUGGCUUAUUCUGAAGAUUUCAAAUCCUCUGCAUCACCUGGCAAACUGUCUCCUCCCAAAAGCAGCAUAUCUGUAUCAAAGCAAGACUCCAGCAAAGGCAGCCACAGAACUGGAGGACAGCUGCAUUCACCUGUGAAGUCCCACCAGACAUCUCACAACUGGUCUGAUGAAUCUUUAUCUAUGACACAGUCAGAAACCACCUCUGAUCAAAGUGACAUCGAAGGACGCAUCAGGGCCCUGAAGGAUGAGCUACGGAAAAGGAAAUCUGUGGUGUACCAGCUGAAAAAGGAGCAGAAAAAGAGACAAAAGGAGAGACUGAAGGCCCAGGAAGCCAGUUUGAUCAAACAACUAGAGUCAUAUGACGAGUUUAUCAAGAAGACUGAAGCGGAGCUGAGCCAAGAUCUGGAAUCAUCACCAACAGCCAAACCUCAGAUCAAAACUCCAUCCUCAGCUGCUGCUGAAAAACCUAAGAUCAAGGCACCACCACUCCAUAGGCCUGAGACAGCUAAAAACUGGAAAUCACUGACUGAGUCAGAGAGAUCCAGAACAUCUUUGGAAUCUGUUUCAGAACAUGCAGAUGCUGUGUCAUCAAGAACCGAGAGAUCUGUGUCUGUGCACACCAAGAAGGUGGCUGUGACAGCUCUCCAUGCAGGAGAACCUUCUGGAACAGCUUCCUUGGCUUCAGUGUUACCAAAGAGUUCCAGAGCAGGAUCUGGUGAUUCCUCAGAUAGCUCUUCAGCUCUUCUCAAAGAUAUGAAAGACAUUAGCAGGAGUCUUGAAUCAGUGAACAAAGUGGUAAAUGAAUCCAGUGCUGGUCCUAUCAUUAGCCAUAAAUCUGAGAUUACGGAAGACCUGGAAUACAUAAAGUCAGAGGAAUAUGAGAAUGGAGGUUCUGAUGUUAAGCCUGUGGAGAGUUCUGACGUCUUGCUGACGUUAGACGAAGGACGGGAGAGUUCACUGGGUCACUGCUCUGAAAACAAACUCUCUCUGAAGGAACUCUUAGAUGUAGCUGUGGAAAGUCUUCAUGAUACAGAAGAAAUCUUAGAACAGAGACAGUCAAAUAAAGAUGCUGUAAGUGGCCCAAGCAUAGAGGAGACUUCUCACAAACUCAGCAAAUUUGCAGAGGAAAAAGGUGAUCUGCUUUCUGAACAGCUCUUGAGUCAGAAAGAGCCAUCGUACCCUGAAGACUUUGAGGAAUCUUCUUCCAGAAAACAAGCUUCAGCUGAAGAAACACUGCCUGGGGAACGCUACAGAGAUGACUUUGAGGAUUCCCUGCUCUCUGCUAAUGGGAAGUCCCUGAGGGAGCAGUCCCAGCACACCCAGGCCAGCCGGAGCAGAUCCACCAGCCUGGGCAGCGAUGGUGAAAUCAGUGAGUGCCUCAGUGACAGGUCUCUCUCUGGCAGCAUGCACUCAGAGAGACUGCUGGAACUGAAGUCCCCAACAGAACUUAUGAAAAAUGCUGAACGCAGAGAUGUGGAGCAAGAACAGGCUCCUGCUUGUUCACCACUGUGGGCCUCAGCUUCAGUCACAGAAGAAGCAGAUAGUUUGGCCAAUUUCAACAUUGGAGACAGAGUACUUGUGAGUAAAGUCCAGCCUGGAACACUGCGCUUCAAAGGGCUUACUAAAUUUGCCAAAGGGUUUUGGGCUGGUGUGGAGUUGGAUAAACCUGAAGGGAACAACAAUGGAACUUAUGAUGAUAUUAAAUAUUUUGAUUGCAGAGAAAAGCAUGGUAUUUUUGCUCCUCCUCAGAAAAUCUCUCACAUUACAGAAAGUAUCGAUAGCCACUUAGACACAAAAAAGGAUGAUGAAGACUCAUUCUUUGAUGAUAGACUGGAGAAAAAACACAAAGCUGAGCAGAAAGAUAGAGAAAGUUCCAAACCUAGCAAAGAAGCUGAAAGCCAGAGCAGAAAUGCAACAGAGAAUUAUUCCCAGGAUAAAGCUCCUGUGGACACAGCUGCUUCAGAAGCCUCAGCUGAGGAAAGGGUUGAAGAGGAGUUGUCAUCUAAAGCAAACAGCAUAGAAGAAAUUUCUGUAGCUGCUGGUUCAUUUGCCCAAGAACAGUCAGUGGUGGAUUACCUGAAGGAUGCUGUAAAAGAGGAAGCCAGCCACACUCCUCUCACUUCCAGUGUUGUGGAUGAGAUUUCCACUGUUCAGUUGGAUGACAUGUCAGAUUUCCUUUCCGAAAAACUGGAGAGGCAGAAGACAUUGGGAGAGGAAUGUGCUGAAAAGUUAGAUGAUCUCUCUCCUGUUGUGGAGAAGCCUGCAACCCCACUGCUGGAUUUGCUGACAAAAGAAAAGAACCAGUUAGAAGCACAGCUCAGCCUGCCUCUUAGAGAGGAAGAAAAGUCAAAAGACCAGCUGGAAAAGGUCAGUUUGCUGACAGACAGUCUACUAAGAGAUUUUGUGAAAGACACAGUCAAUCAGUUACAGCAAAUAAAGAAGAUCAAAAAUGAGAAAAUCCAGCUCAGCAACCAGGAGCUCUGUGAUGUGAAGGAGGAAGCCACUACUCCACCCCAGCAGGUGGAAAAGCAGAUUCCAGACGGACUGAACAACUUCUUCCUAAGUUCUGAUUUGGAAGAUGACAGAGAAGAGCUUUCCUCUCCAGACAUGUGUCCCAGACCAGAGAGUCCUGUGUUUGGUGCCAGUGGCCAGGAGGAGCUUGCCAAGAGACUGGCAGAGCUGGAGCUCAACCGGGAGUUCCUGAGUGUGCUGGGAGAUGAUCAAGACUGGUUUGAUGAGGACUAUGGCCUGAGUUCCCGUAAGCUGCAGCAGAAGCAGGCUGAGGAGCCAGCAGUGCUGCCCCAGGCAGAGCCGCAGAAAGUGCCCACCAAGCCGAGUGAGGAGCCCCUGGCUGUCCCUCACACUGCCGUGGAGGUGGAAGGGAUGGUGCAUGCAGCAGCUGAGGAGCUCUGGAAACUAAAAGAGCUGGGUCACGAUCUUCAAAGCUGCAGCCUUAAAACAGAUCUUAGUGGUACCCUCCAAGAGCAGGACACAGACACCAUAAACAAGCAGGUUUAUAGAAAGGUGGUAUUUGAUUUAACAAGAGAGAUAUUUGGGGAAAUCUUUGCUGAGGACCCUAAUCUGAAUCAGCCCAUUUGGAUGAAACCGUGUAGGAUCGCAUCUGCUUAUUUUCGCCGAGUCAAAGAUCCAAAUGAUCUGGAUGAAAUCAAGAACUUCAUUGCAGCUGAAGUACUGAAGUUGUUCAGCCUGAGGAAAGAGCCUAACCACAAAACAGACUGGCAGAAGAUGAUGAAAUUUGGGCGGAAGAAACGAGACCGGGUGGAUCACAUACUGGUGCAGGAACUCCACGAGGAAGAAGCGCAGUGGGUGAACUACGACGAGGAUGAGCUGUGUGUCAAGAUGCAGUUGGCAGAUGGGAUCUUCGAGGCCUUAAUCAGAGACACUCUUGAUGUACUGAACCAGAUAAACGAGAAACAGCGGAGGCUGCUGCUUGUCUGACAGUGCUGAAGUGAGCUCAGAGCUGCCAACCACGGAGUCACAGGCCUCUCUGACUCCUGACCUGCUCUCCUCCCUGCACGCGCUGCGGCUGGACUUCCACGCGUGGGGUUCCCAGGCAGUUCAGAUGGGAUGAAAAGAACCUGAACUGGCUGCCAAGACCUCGCACCAGAUUUAUUGUUCGGAACAAGCUGAUCCCUCGCUUGAGGUUGCUUUGAGGAGUGCUCAAGACUGUUCAUGUGCCAAUGCAGUUAUGUCACAUAACUGUCAGCAGCUGCCCGGGGCCCCGGCUCGGGGCUUUGACAUGUUUGGCUUGUUCCCUGAAAGGGUUGGGUUAAGUUGGGGUAGUGGCUGUUUUGCUGGAAUGGUGGUCAGCCAUCAGUACUCAACUUGUCUUUAGAAAUGUGAGUAAUUUGGAGAAGCAACAGUUUGGUCAGGUUUUGGUCAUAAACAGAGACUUACCAUACUGAACAGUGUUAUAAUCUUAACACAUCUUCUCCUGCAGUCCUAACAAUGUGCAUCAGUUCCUUCUGCUUCAGAGCCUAUUUAAUUCACUUCUCCGUGAAGCUGGUUUUCAUCUUUCUUCUGUGAUGUGGUACUGAGCAUGGUGCCAGUCCAGUCCAGGGAAAUUAGAUCAUGUUUCUUCCUGCCUACAAGUAAAGAAUUCUUGCUGCUUUGCUCUGAGGCAGAGCAAGAUAAAGCCUGCCUAAUGUCAAGUGUGAAAGAUGAGCCCGUGGACAACUUUGCUCCUCCCGUGUAGCACUUCUCUUCCUGGAGCACCAGCUGCUCCCAGAUAAUGGAUACUCAGGAUUUUCUCAGGCACGAGACAUGCAGGAGUGGAAAACAUUUCCUCACAAAAAUUUGGCCUUCAAUCCCUCAGCUUUCUCCCUUACUGUCACCUAAUGAAAUUGGAGAAGCUGUUACUUGAACAAUUUAGAGAAUGGAGUGUAUUCACCAAAGAAAGCGGUGUCUGGUGCUUGACUGGUCUGCAUGUUUUGUGCUUGUGGGUUUUUUAUUUAUUUUCAGAUAAUUUAUUAAGUGGAUUACAGGAGAGUGUCCUGUGCAGUUGGCUGCACUGUCUUGUGUUUUGAGACAGACGAACUUGAGAGAGCAUCUGGCUUGGAAACUUCCAGAGCCCCGUAUUCUUCGCACAAAACCUCCAGCUUCAUGAGAGGGGGUGAAGAACCUUUUGAUACACAUUUGCAAAGCCGCCUUUUGGGAGGCUCAGUCUCCCCGUGUACUGUGUUGUGGAGAUGCUGAAAAGAAACCCAUUUACUGUGACAAGAGAAGAACCAAGUCACUUUAACACAUGAAAGGUCCUGGAGCUCUGUAAGAGGACAGCUGAGCACUUGCAGUGCCAAACCACAGAGCUACCUCAUCCUGGAGGAGGAUUUGCUGCAUUCAGGCUUCUGUUAUGGAAGAAGCUUUGCUGCAGUCCGGGUGUGCCACAGGGCUUGUCCUCAGUGGAGCUGGGGACACCAUCACAGCCCUCAGACAGACAGGAGGACGUCACAGCCCUCAGACAGAAGGACAUCACAGCCCUCAGACAGACAGAAGGACAUCACAGCCCUCUGAGCUCAGCAGUUGAACUGGCCAAACUCAGUGGUGGGUCCUUGGACGUCCAAAGGGCUGAGGCCAAGUGGUGCUGCAGCCUCUGUGUCCUCAUUAGUGAGCAGCAGAAGAGUAUCCGUGCCAUGCCUUUCCUUGCCCUGCAAUGAUUUUACUCCAUGAGUCCUGUUUUUUUGGACAAUUGUCUACUUGCAUCCAUCCCUGGAAGGGGCUCAGAGUACAUUUCAUGUUGGACAAAAAAACCUGAAUAAGAGGCUUCCUUUAAAAACGGCUCAAGCUGUGGGAGUGCUGCCAAGGUGCUCCGGCGGGUGACGCAGCAAAGUGCUGCAUUGCUCCUGCUGUCCUUGCCCAGGAUACCCAGCAAUCAGCGUGAUGAAGGCUCUCAUUUCCUCAUUUGCAAGUCUACGUUGCUUCACUUUGUCACUGACUUUCUACCCGUGGUGUUUGUGCAACUCUUCCCAGAAUCCUUGGAGCAUGGUUCCCUUCAACAGCUGUUUCACGUGUGGACCUGGUGAAACUUCUGGGUUGGGCAAUGGCCAGCAGCCACCUUCCUGAUGGCACCCUGGAUUGAGUGGGACUGUUUGGUGCCUCCCUUCCCAGGUACAGCCCCACUCCCAGGUGCCUCCCUGGGGAUGUGGUGCCAGCUGCAGCCAUCCCACGUGCUAAAAUGCCUGGCAGAGCACUGGAGUACUUGAAAUGUUGACUCUGCUCCAGGCGUGCUGUGCCCUGCCUAGCACAAGGGCUUCUGCAAUGUCCAGGCUCUCAUUAAGAAGAAAAGGAGUUGGUGGGGAGCUGCUGAACACCAGCAGCUCUUCAGAGUGCAGGAAGGAGAGGAGGGGGGCUGCCCAGCUGCUGGCACCCAGCCCAGAGCAUGGGCCAUUGCCUGGCAGGAAUGCAGAUGAGAUGCAAUGGAGUUUGAAAGUGUAGGGCACUCUCUGGGAUGUCAGUCUGUGGGAGAGAGAAAGGCACCCUGUGAGACCUGGAAACUGAAGCAAACAAAACCCCUAGCCCCAGCCCUGUACCUUCCUGCCUCCUCCUGAAUAAGGUCCUGCAGAAAUUUGGGGAAAAGGAGGAGAAUAGAGUAGCUCUGUUCAGGAGGGUGAUGGUUGGGCAGGUUCAGGGGCUUAGAGGAGACUCCUGGGGUACAAAUCCCUUCUUUUGCUUGCCAAGAGUUCUGAUGGCCUGGAGCAGGUGGUUAAUUCCUGCUCUGAAUGUUUCUCUUGGCCCCAGUUUUCCAGCCCUUUGCUCCACCUGUACAAGACCUGCUGUGUCCCUUGGGCUGCGUUCCCUCCCUGAUGUGGGUUUCCAGUGGCUUCCUCUUGCAGUCAGUCUAGGCUGACUCAAGCUCAGAUUUUGUCUGAGAAUUUGCUGGAGGUGGAAGUAACGCCACUUCUGGGGGGUGUCACAGCUAUGAUUUGAUUUUAUUCCAGCAAAAUAAAGGAGGCUGCAGGGGAUCCCACUGCUCACGUGGCUUGGCUUGGGGAGCCCAGCAAGGAGCCUGGUCCAGUGUCUGUGUCUGGCUGUGUUGCUCCAAGGACUGAUGGAGCCAGCACUGCUCAGUGUACCUGUGAUGGGGCACAGCAGUCCUUGGAAGGUGAGACCUUGCUUACGUUGCAGGACUACUGUCAGAACAAGAGAGGAGUGCUCCGUUGUCAUCCCUGUGGUAUUCUCAGUUUCGUGCGCUGCAAUUAAACCACCUGCCAAAUAAUGAUGUGGCAAAUCUGGGCGGUGUGGCCUCCUCCAAUCUGCUUCUUAAAGCUGGGAACAUGAGCUGGACUGGAAAAUAUCUGCUCUGUGCAGCCUGGGUCAUGGUAAUCAUUUAUGACUGUUAGUAGAUCUGAAAUUUGCAGGUAAAACGUUUCCUACCCAGACAUACCAAUGACAGUGCCAGUUCCUCCUGGUCUCCCUGGGUUCUUCUGAAAAGGGAAGGGCAGCAUAGCUGCUGUCCUUUGGAGCAGGGAUGAAUCAGAAGAGGUUGAAUAGCAGGAGGCUGGUACUGCUGUAUUCUCUCUGCAGAUGCAAACUAUGUGAACACAUUCGUCACAUCCUGAGAAUGCACCCCAGAUUUGCUUUUGUGCCUCUUGUUAUUACAGGCUGGUUGGGCUUGAAAGGUAGAAAUCAACGAUUUCCAACCAAGUCUGUCUCGUGGAGUCAGCAACUCCCAGCUGCCAGGGGGGCUUUGAGGGGCCAUCCUGGUCUGACAGGUGUCAGCCUGGCAGAGCCACUGCAGAGUGUGGGAAGCAGUCGGGAUUCACAUCCCCUCGGGUGUCUCAGCAAAGCUGGCAGGUUUGUGGCACAGGUGCUGCCAGAGGUCUUGUCUGAAGCCAUAUCUCAGCUGAGGUGUGACAUGUGCCACAAAGAAAAAAGUGCCACCUGGAUUGGAAUGUCAGGGAGGUGGCACAAUUUCCCUUGCUCUCUGAGGGAAGUGAGGGUUUUUCUUUAUUCACAGAAGGACCACGCUUUAAGCAGUGCUGUGCUGCAGAUCAAAGAGGACUUCCUUGAGUUCAUCAUCUUGUGAAGCCUGGAGAAAGGAAAACUGCUGAGCUUCCUCCAAGGUGCUUGCAGGGGAGUUGGAUGCUAACCUCUCUGAGCAGGCUCCAAAAUGCCAGUGACGGGGUUGCCGUGAUUGUAUCAUGAGUCUUGCAUUGGUUGCGUGUUUUCCUUGGAGUCAGUUCCUGGAAUCACACAAUUAGGUAGGAACGUGUUCUAUAAUUUUCAAGGAAGAAAGUCCAUUUUGGGAUCUCCCUGUGG